CCUACGGGAGGCAGCAGUGGGGGAUAUUGCACAAUGGGGGAAACCCUGAUGCAGCGACGCCGCGGGUGGGAAGACGGUCCUCUGGAGUGUAAACCACGGUCCCCAGGGACGAAGAUGACGGUACAUGGGGAGGAAGCGCCGGCUAACUACGUGCCAGCAGCCGCGGUAAUACGUAGGGAGCGAGCGUUGUCCGGAAUUACUGGGUGGAGAGGGAGCGUAGGCGGGACUGCAAGUUGGGUGUCAAAUCUACCGGCUCAACCGGUAGCCGCACUCAAAACUGCAGUUCUUGAGUGAAGUAGAGGCAGGCGGAAUUCCUAGUGUAGCGGUGAAAUGCGUAGAUAUUAGGAGGAACACCAGUGGCGAAGGCGGCCUGCUGGGCUUUUACUGACGCUGAGGCUCGAAAGUGUGGGGAGCAAACAGGAUUAGAUACCCGAGUAGUC
This 440-nucleotide ribosomal RNA is filed under the name uncultured bacterium. RNAcentral describes it as "partial 16S ribosomal RNA". It matches the Rfam family "Bacterial small subunit ribosomal RNA", at positions 338 to 795 of the family's 1533-position model. The record is from RNAcentral.